AAAGCCUUAGCUUAAUUAAAGCAUAUGCUUUGCACGCAUGAGAUGCUGGAUAAUGCCCGGCAGGUUUUA
RNAcentral lists this transfer RNA (69 nucleotides) under Bothus pantherinus (leopard flounder). RNAcentral's name for it is "tRNA-Ala". It matches the Rfam family "tRNA". From Rfam's summary of the family: Transfer RNA (tRNA) molecules are approximately 80 nucleotides in length. RNAcentral also lists the same sequence under 1 other name. Lineage: Eukaryota; Metazoa; Chordata; Actinopteri; Pleuronectiformes; Bothidae. The record is from RNAcentral.